Long non-coding RNA from Equus caballus (horse), 1625 nucleotides. RefSeq lists it as uncharacterized. NCBI's taxonomy places the organism in Eukaryota, Metazoa, Chordata, Mammalia, Perissodactyla, Equidae. The record is from RefSeq and is a predicted model, not a curated record.
UCCUGGGGACAUUCCUGUGCAGAGUCUCAUUAACUCUCAGGAUGAGCCUGAGACAUGUCCCGUCACUCCCAUCUGACGGGUGCUGAGACUGAAGCCCAGAAGCUCAGCCCCUGACUUGCCCACGUCGCUCAGCCGGGAGCAGCAAAACGGGGAGUCAAGCUCCAGUCCGUGUGAUGCCGAAGUCCUUGCUCCUGCCUUGCUCCUGCCACCACCACUGGGAGUGUUUGCCUCAGGAAUGUGGACCAUUGAAGUAGCCCACGCUCCCACACCAAAAACCUGUUUUUCUGGAUUAGGAGGAAGCCCUAGUUCAGACAGGCCCUAAAGAAUAAUUAAGGAGCGCUGACAGGCCCCUCCUGGGGCAAGAUCAGCACCGUCUGGGACUGGCUGAGGGGCUGCAAGCUGGAGCCCCUACACUCAGACCACAGGGUGACACAGAGACAGCCUGCAGGGACCCAGGCAGGCAGCCUCCUCAUGGUCCGCAUGGUCCUAGUGUCAGGCCACUGGGAAGGUGGGCCAGUCCAGCUGACGGCGGCACCGGCCUGCAGAUCAGAGCACUGCCACCACCCCUUCCAGCUCUGCCGAGGUGGCCAUCGUGCCAGGCGGACGAGAAACUCAGCCUGACAGUGGUCAAUCUUGCCCAGUUGGAGAGGGCACAUCUGUGAUCCAAGGGCCUGUUCCAUGAGUCAUCUCCCUGCUAGGAGAAAAGGUGAAACUUCUUGGAGAUGCAGUGUGGCACAGAAGGAGGUCUUUGUGCUUCAGAGGUGGAGACAGACCUGGGUUCAAAUCUCCGUGCUGCUACUCACUGGCUGUGUGACCUGGGGCAUACACAAACCGGCACUGACAUCUGAGCAGCCACUACGCACGUUCACUGAAAGAGGACCAAUGGUGACUAAGAGAGGUGCUUCCAACUCUGUCCGGACCAGAGGGUCUGCUGGAAUGUACAGGCACUGGGAAAGGCUGAAGCCUCCUGGGAAAGUGACCACAGACUGACGUCAUCUGGAGAUGAAGACAGGGGAAUCAAGGCCAAGAACCCAGGGACUUCCCUGAGGAGGGCUCCCUAAGAAGGUGGAGCCCACAGCCCGCUAACCUUCCUUCAAUGACAGUGGGGGGCCCCUAACGGGCAUCCUGGGUGCUCGCUCUGGGACGAGCAUGAGGGUAACCCUAGUCAGUGUUCCUACUGCCCAGGCUAAACAUCUGCUUCAACCUCACAGUUCAUGAUUUUGCAUACCUUAUCAUUCAUUCCAGAGUCUCCCUCUCGCAUCUCAGGUGCUUCCUCCCUCUCCUCGAAGGGAAGGUCCAUGUAGCUAUUCACCCAGGAGAUAGGAAGCAAACUGGGCUUCGGAGAAAAAAUUCAAUGCCAUUACUGAUACCAUUUCCUCUCCAUUCUGCAACUGAGAACACAGUUGGCAGGCAACCUCGCCCCCCAGAUCUUGACAGAAGCUGGAGGGCUCUGCGAUCUGUGGGUGAGAUAAUGACACCACCUAAUUUGUUCUGAGCUCCCUGCAAGCUGCAGGGAAGAAGCCGGGAUUGUAGUUUGCUCUGAAAUACAAAAAUAAAAUAAAAGGUUGUGACAGAGAUUUAAAUGAGAAUAAAAUGCCAAUUAACUCAGAGGUAUUGGACCCGAA